This 1032-nucleotide long non-coding RNA is filed under the name Anolis carolinensis (green anole). RNAcentral's name for it is "lncRNA (ENSACAG00000041472.1)". The record is from RNAcentral. Lineage: Eukaryota; Metazoa; Chordata; Lepidosauria; Squamata; Anolidae.
AUGAGGGCUUUGAUGGACACCCAUGGGAAAAAUGAAAAUGUAAAUGACCUCCUACAGCUGUGCAAAUUAUUGGAGAAAUCUUUCAAUCUGGUGCUAUCACAACUGAAAACACUCAAUGAGAAGAUGGACCUUGUUUUUAAAGGAAUAUCUCUUAGUCUGAAACAACCGACACAUUAUGCACCCCUUGAGAAAGAAUCCACUGGGUCUUCUAACCACACUGUGGAGGCGUGCGCAUUAGAUAUAGACGGCGAGGAAGAGGAGAAACUAAAGUUACUCCCUAUAGUGACUCCAUUAGAAAUUAGGGAGAACAAUAGAGAAGAGUUGUCUAGAGAAGUACAAGGACUAGUGAAGCCUGGGCAUGAAAAUAAGGUUCUAGGUCAAUUGAAAGUCCAUCCAUUGAUACCAUCUGAGUCUGCAUCAUCUUUACCACCUACCACCACACACCGCCUGUUAUCUCCAAACCAACUGGCAUUUGAAGUAGCAGACUCGAUGCAGAAUAGGGGUAAAUGGGGAUCAAGGAUAGCGGUUUUAAGGUCUCUUGCCCAAAUCCUAUUUAUGAACCCUGUAGAUAUUAACAUUCAAUCUCUCAAUUGGCUGCACAGAGACUUCCAAUCUCUCAACCGCUCUACGCAUCUCUUGGUUACACUUAAAAACAUGUCCAUCAUUAAGGAGUUACUAAGCUCUAGAGAUCGUCUUGAAGCAUGGGGCAUCCGCAUUAGGAGGGUCUUCUUCGACCCCUGGAUUCGCCCCCUGAUCCCUGACCUACAAUUACAUCCCCUAGAGUUAACAUCUAUUAGUAACCAUACUCUCCCAAAUCCUUUAUACUGGACCCCCCCUAUCUCAGCCAUGUGUCCACGGACCCCCCUAGUUCCCCAUCUCUGUGCCCAUUCAUGUUCUCAACUCCCUCUACAAACGCUUCCUUGUUAUAGUCCAUCUAUUAGUCCACCUAACACCCUAGAGGACUCUCUUCUACUGUUCUCACAAGAUACAUCUCUAGCCACUACGCACGAUAGGUCCCAACAUGGCUCUCCU